GCGGAGGCAUGAUGAUCGCCUACCCCGGACGAGAUGUGCGCCGUACCCGGUCUGCAAGACGACGCUCA
This 68-nucleotide non-coding RNA is filed under the name Micromonospora sp. Lineage: Bacteria; Bacillati; Actinomycetota; Actinomycetes; Micromonosporales; Micromonosporaceae. The record is from RNAcentral. RNAcentral also lists the same sequence under 1 other name.